Molecule: ribosomal RNA, 502 nt
Filed under: uncultured bacterium
Lineage: Bacteria
Description: partial 16S ribosomal RNA
Rfam family: Bacterial small subunit ribosomal RNA
Source: RNAcentral
AUUGAACGCUGGCGGCAUGCCUUACACAUGCAAGUCGAACGGCAGCACGGGAGCUUGCUCCUGGUGGCGAGUGGCGAACGGGUGAGUAAUGCAUCGGAACGUACCCAGGAGUGGGGGAUAACUAUCCGAAAGGAUGGCUAAUACCGCAUAUUCUGUGAGCAGGAAAGCGGGGGAUCGCAAGACCUCGCGCUCUUGGAGCGGCUGAUGUCGGAUUAGCUAGUUGGUGAGGUAAAGGCUCACCAAGGCGACGAUCCGUAGCAGGUCUGAGAGGAUGAUCUGCCACAAUGGGACUGAGACACGGCCCAGACUCCUACGGGAGUCAGCAGUGGGGAAUUUUGGACAAUGGGGGCAACCCUGAUCCAGCCAUGCCGCGUGAGUGAAGAAGGCCUUCGGGUUGUAAAGCUCUUUCGGCGGGGAAGAAAUAGCAACGGCUAAUAUCCGUUGUUGAUGACGGUACCCGCAUAAGAAGCACCGGCUAACUACGUGCCAGCAGCCGCCGUAA